This 261-nucleotide ribosomal RNA is filed under the name uncultured archaeon. RNAcentral's name for it is "partial 16S ribosomal RNA". It matches the Rfam family "Archaeal small subunit ribosomal RNA", at positions 748 to 1009 of the family's 1478-position model. The record is from RNAcentral.
UAGCCGUAAACGAUACUCGCUAGGUGUCGGCCACGGUGCGACCGUUGUCGGUGCCGUAGGGAAGCCGUGAAGCGAGCCACCUGGGAAGUACGGCCGCAAGGCUGAAACUUAAAGGAAUUGGCGGGGGAGCACCACAACGGGUGGAGCUUGCGGUUUAAUUGGAUUCAACGCCGGAAAUCUUACCGGGACCGACAGCAACAUGAAGGCCAGGCUGAGGACUUUGCCGGAUUAGCUGAGAGGAGGUGCAUGGCGUAGUCGUGU